UUAAACUACUAGGGGAGCUAGUAAGCUGAGAUGACGGUAGGUCAGACCCUUAUAACCUGAAUUGGUUAGUACCAACGUAGGAAAGUAGUAUUUUAGUCUU
Molecule: non-coding RNA, 100 nt
Filed under: Staphylococcus pettenkoferi
Lineage: Bacteria; Bacillati; Bacillota; Bacilli; Caryophanales; Staphylococcaceae
Description: TPP sequence
Rfam family: TPP riboswitch aptamer (THI element)
About the family: Vitamin B(1) in its active form thiamin pyrophosphate (TPP) is an essential coenzyme that is synthesised by coupling of pyrimidine and thiazole moieties in bacteria.
Source: RNAcentral